CUUGCUGGGGCUCCUGCUUUUCUCUUUCUUGCUCCGGCUCCGACUCUGGCUCCGGCUCCGGCUCUUGCUCCGGGAGCGGGAGCCCGACCUGAGGAGACAUGGGAUACUGUUUGUGUCACAUGUGACUUCAUGCUAAUCAGGAGAUAAAAAGACCAAAGGGCAUACAUGUGGAGUUACACCCCCCAAUAUAAAGCAUGGCUGGCACUGGCUGAGGAUUGUUUUCUGAACCCUCACAAUGCCAAUCAGAAGCUGGAAAAACUGGCCAGGUGCGGCGGCUCAUGCCCAUAAUCCCAGCACUUUGAGAGGCCAAGGCAGGCGGAUCGCGAGGUCAGGAGUUCAAGAGCCAGCCUGGCCAACAUGGUGAAGCCCCGUCUCUACUAAAAAUACCAAAAAUUAGCCAGGCAUGCUGGCACACGCCUGUAAACCGAGCUACUCAGGAGGCUGAGGCAGGAGAAUCGCUUGAACCCGUGAGGCAGAGGUUGCAGUGAGCCGAGAUCGCGCCACUGCACUCCAGAUUGGGCGACAGAGCGAGACUCUGUCUUGAGGGGGGAAAAAAAAAAAAAAAAAGAAAAAGAAGCUGGAAAAGCAGGAAGACUGGUCACAUGAUUGAAAUCCAAGUGAGGCUGGGCACAGUGGCUCAUGUCUGUAAUCGCAGUAGUCUGGGAGGACUAUUUGAGGUCAUGAGUUUAAGAUUAGCCUGGGCAACAUAGUGAGACCCUGUCUCUAAAAAAAAUUAAAAAAUUAGCUGGGUGUGGUAGUAUGUGCCUGUAGUCCCAGCUACUUGGGAGGCUGAGGUGGAAGCUUGCUUGAGCCCAGUGAGGUGAGGCUGCAGUGAGCCAUGACUGUACCACUGGACUCCAGCUUGGGUGACAGAGUGUCUCUUUGAAAAAAAAAAGAAAAAAAAGUGAGACAGGGUACAGGCAUUCCCUGCUGACCACCUCUACUUAUAACAUGGAAGACAUACCUGGACCGAGAUCUACUCUUAGAAUGACUGCUUUUGCUGCUGCCACUUCGGCUUCUGCUCUUACGGGAAUGUCUGCUUCGAGAGCGAGACCUAGGGGGAGAAAAUAUUUUUUAAUACUUGCUGACAAGAGGCUGCUGAUGAGCAUCAAUCAAGACUAUAUAUAUUAUAUAUAUAUAUUUUAGAUGGAGUUUCACUCUUGUUGCCCAGGCUGGAGUGCAAUGGCGCGAUCUCGGCUCACCACAACCUCCACCUCCUGAGUUCAAGCGAUUCUCCUGCCUCAGCCUCCCAAGUAUCUGGGAUUACAGGCAUGUGCUACCACGCCUGGCUAAUUUUGUAUUUUUAGUAGAGACGGGGUUUCUCCAUGUUGGUCAGGCUGGUUUCGAACUCCUGACCUCAGGUGAUCCACCUGCCUCGACUUCCCAAAAUGCCAGGAUUACAGGCAUGAGCCACCGUACCCGGCCAAGAUUUUCAAUAUGUACAGCACUGGCUGUGUCCAGGCACAAACUCUCUCUUGGGUUCUAGGUCCACAGAUGAAGUCACCUGCAAACCUUCCAUCUGGAUGGUUCACCUGAACCUCUUAGCAGCUCCUGAAAUUCUAACUGUCCCCGAUGCCGGCUCCUUUUGCUGGGCUCCUUAUGUGCACUGAUGCCACUGUUAUUCAUAUGGUUCCUCGUAACAGAAAUCACAGCCAUCCUUGACUCCCCCGUCUUUCCCCUAUCCCCUUACACACCCACGAUCAUGCCUCCUGAUCUUCGGUCUUUCUACCUCUGCUGCUGCCUCUCUGGGCAAGCCACCAUUAUCUCUCCCCUUGUUCAACAACCAGCCUUUCUGUGUAUACUUUUCCCCUUUACGAUCUAUUCAACUCACUGUGACGAGAGCUGUUUUAAAGAGACCGACAAUCCAAGCUUUACAAAAUUUUUUUAAUGCAUCCAGACUGUAGAUUCUUAUUUUCUACCAACCAGGACUCCUUGGGAAAAUGACUGACUCCAGGCGUAAAGCAGGAAGUAGUACACAAAGAUGGGCCUAGACCAUCUCAUUAUGACAGAAAGAGGGAAACUUUCAAAGCUGCCCAGGCACCAUCACCUAUGAAGUAUUCUUGCUAAAAAUGUUUAACCUGCAUCUCAAUCACACCUCUCCAGACCUAACUUCCAGUAUAUAGGAAGUUCAGGGGAUAAGAUACAAGUUCAAUGAUACUAAGAAGAAACAGAUAAAUACAGAAUGUGAGUAUUAAAAAACUAAGAAAAAUAAGCCAGGAGUGGUGGCUCACGCCUGUAAUCCUAGCUACUUGGGAGGCUGAGGCAGUAGGAUAGCUUGAACCUGGGACGCAGAGGCUGCAAUGAGCUGAGAUGGUGCCACUGCACUCCAGCCUGGGCGACAGAGCAAGAGUCCGUCUCAAACAAACAAAAAAACCCAAACCUAAGCAAAAUAAAUGUCAUGAAGGAACUGCUCCACACUAAAAGCCUGACUACAUUAGGUUUUACCUAAAAACCCCUUGUACUACAUGACUGGAUUAGAUCCCGGUUAAGAAAAAACCCAGCUAUAAAGACAUCCAUGGAGUAACUGGGGAAACAUGAAUAUGGCCUGGGCAUUUAGUAAUUAGAUGGAAUUACUAUUAAUGUUCUUAGGUGAAAAAACAGAACUGUGGUUAUCCUCAUUCUUGGAGACACAUGCUGAAGUAUUUAGGGGCAAAGUAUCAUAAUUUCUACAACUUACUUUCAAAUGCUACAACAAAAUAAAUGUACAGUGUGCUUGUAUAAAUACAUACAUACAAAGAGAGAAAAGGCAAAAUGCUAUCUGUUAAAGCCAGAGGAGGGUAUACAGGUGUUCAUUAACUAUUCUUUCAACUUUUGUUUGAAGAAACCAAUUGCAAAAAUACCUAUUUGAGACAACUAGGGCAGGGUGCAGUGGCUCACGUCUGUAAUCUCAGCACUUUGGGAGGCUGAGGUGGGAGGACCGCUUGAACCCAGGAGUUCAAGACCAGCCUGGGUAACAUAGCAAGACUCCAUUUCUACAACAAACAAACAACUGAAAAAUUGGAAUACAACCUAGAUAUUACAUCAUAGUAUGGAAUUAUUGCUAAUUUUGCUAGCUAUGUUAUCAUGGUUUCUUUUAAAAUACUACAGAUACAUACUGAAGCAGUUGCAGAUGGAAUGAUAGAUGUCUAGACUUGCCUUACAACAAUGCAGCAGGAGCGGGUGAUGUGAAACAAGACUGGCAAAAUAAAAACUACAGAAGCUGGAGGAGUGGGAGGUGCAAUUCAGAGUUCUCCAAUGCUUCAUAUAUAAAUUUCAAAUUUUCCAUAAUAAAAAGUCAAAAGACCUAAAUAACAAAACCUGAAAAGUCUCCAGUGACUUCUCACUACUCUUCCAUUCUUGCUCUGGCCUAAUGGUCAGUAUAUCUGGUCCUUCUCUGCCUUAUCUCAAGCCACUCUCCUCCCGUUACCUCUCUAUAUUAGCUUCUCUACUCUGGAAAACUUUCUCCUGCCCCCAGGCCUUCAGAAACACCCUUUUCUGUUAGAUAGAUAGGCAUUUUCUCGACGGGCACGGUGGCUCAAGACUGUAAUCCAAGCACUUUGGAAGGCCGAGGUGGGUGGGUCACCUGAGGUCAGGAGUUCGAGACCAGUCUGCCCAACAUGGUGAAACUCUGUCUCUACUAAAAUUACAAAAAUUAGCCAGGCAUGGUGGUGUGCACCUGUGAUCCCAGCUACUCAGGAGGCUGAGGCAGGAGAAUCGCUUGAACCCGGGAGGUGGAAGUUGCAGUAAGCCGAGAUUGUGCCACUACACUCCAGCCUGGGUGACAGAGUGAAAGAAACUCCGUCUCAAAAAAAAAAAAAGAAAGAAAGAAAGGCAUUUUCUUCUGCUCACCAUCUCUCUGCCUUAUUCAUUAGGGCUCAGUUCUACAGCAUGUCCUUAGGGAAGCUGUUGCCAGCUCUCUAGACUAGUUGUGCUGUGUGCAUUUUCUUGUCACAAUAGCACGGUUUAUUCAAUACUCAUCUUCUACGCUAGACUGAGUUUCAGGGGGGCAAGGACCAUAUUUGUCUUUUUUUUGAGACAGAGUCUCUUUCUGUCGCCCAGGCUGGAGUAUAGUGGAGUGAUCUCUGCUCACUGCAACCCCUGCCUCCUGGGUUCCGGUUUAAGCGAUUCUCCUGCCUCAGCCUCCCUAGUAGCUGGGACCACAGGCGUGUGCCAUCAUGCCUGGCUAAUUUUUUUUUACUUUUGUAUUUUUAGUAGAGAUGGGGUUUCAUCACGUUGGCCAGGCUGGUCUUGAACUCCUGACCUCAGGUGAUCCACUCGCCUCAGCCUCCCAAAGUGCUGGGAUUACAGGUGUAAGCCACCGCGUCUGGCCAUUUGUCUUCUUUACAAAGCCUUUCCAAUGCUUAGCCCAGUGCCUGGCCUGUUCAGGUGCUAAGUAAGACAAAAUUGCCAUGUGUGCCAUCAACCAAGGUAGUAGGAUCUAGGGGUCCCAAGAAGAAAUGUGAAAGGUGGCCUCUGAUUUCCAUUUUUUUUUUUUUUUUUGAGACGGUGUUUUGCUCUUGUUGCCCAGGCUAGAGUGCAACGGUGCGCUUGGCUCACCACAACCUCCGCCUCCCAGGUUCAAGCAAUUCUCCUGCCUCAGCCUCCCGAGUAGCUGGGAUUACAGGCAUGCACCACCAACGCCUAGCUAAUUUUUUUGUAUUUUUUCAGUAGAGACGGGGUUUCUCCAUAUUGAGGCUGGUCUCGAACUCCUGACCUCAGGUGAUCUGCCCGCCUUGGCCUCCCAAAGUGCUGGGAUUACAGGCGUGAGCCACUGUGCCCGGCCUCUGAUUUCCCUUUUUGAGAUGGAGUCUCCCUGUCGCCCAGGCUGGAGUGGAAUAGUGCGAUCUCGGCUCACUGCAACCUCUGCCUCCUGGGUUCAAGCGAUUCCCAUGCCUCAGCCUCCUGGGUAGCUGGGACUACAGGUACGUGCGCCACCACACCAUUUUUUUUUUUGAGAUGGAGUUUCGCUCUUGUUGCCCAGGCUGGAGUGCAAUGGCACAAUCUCGGCUCACUGCAACCUCUGCCCCUACUGGGUUCAAGCAAUUUUCAAGCAAUUUUUCUGCCUCCGCCUCCCGAGUCACUGGGAUUAUAGGCACCCACCACGCCCAACUAAAUUUUGUUAUUUUUAGUAGAGACAAGAUUUCGCCAUGUUGGCCAGGCUGGUCUCGACUCCUGACAUCAGGUGAUCCACCCACCUCGGCCUCCCAAAGUGCUGGGAUUACAGACAUGCGCCACAGCGCCCAGCAUUUUUGUAUUUUUAGUACAGAUGGGGUUUCACCAUAUUGGUCAGGCUGGUCUUGAACUCCUGACCUUGUGAUGCGCCCACCUUGGCCUCCCAAAGUGCUGGGAUUACAGGCGUGAGCAAGGCCUCUGAUUUCUAAGAGAAGGGACUUCUAUUUGUACUCAUGACCUAAGAGUUCAAGAGUUUUACAAAUAAAUGUUCAGUUCAAAAUUCUAAGUUAUUGAACCAGAUGGAAUCAUGUUAUUAAGAACUCAACAGGAAAAUGUAAAUAAAUUAUCUAUGUGCUCACUAAUGAAUUUAUGAUGAGCUCCAACACACAAAAGACAUCAACAGUACCUUGAAUGACUCCGGCUUCUGGAGUAGGACCGGCGUCGUCUGGAACCUGGCUUGUCUUCAACUAAUCUGAUUUUUCUCCCAUUGACUUCAGUUCCAUCCAACUUUUCCAAAGCUCUUUUCAUAUCAGAAUAAGAUACAAAUUCAAUCACCCCUUCAUUUUUGCGUCCCUUGUGAGCAUCUGCAUAAGUCACUUCUCCUGCCUGACGCAUAUAAUCCUGAAGAAAAAAAAAAGUGUGACUACAUUAGGAUAUGUUUUGCUAAAAUAUCUAAUGCAAUCAUCUGAGUGAAUUUUUCCUUUAAGAAAUGCCAGCAUUCCGCAGAAUAAAGUUUACUCUUAAAUAUUUUCAUCUACCCAUCAAUCAUGUACUGAGGUUCUUUAAAGCACCAGCCAUAUUAGGUGGGUGGGAGAGACAAUAAAUACACAUUAAAUUGUUCCUUUAAAUAAAGUUUUGGGGCCAAGUGUGGUGGCUCAUGCCUGUAAUCCCAGCACUUUGACAAGCUGAGGCGGGAGGAUUGCUUGAUCCCAGGAAUUCAAGACCAGCCUUGACAACACAGAAGACCCUAUCUCUACAAAAAUUGAAAAAAUUAGUCAGGUGUAGUGGCACACGCCUGUGGUCCCAGCUACCCAGUAGGAUGAGGUGGGAGGAUCAUCUGAGCCCAAGGAGGUUGAGGCUGCAGUGAGCCGUGAUCAUGCCACUGCACUCCAGCCUGGGGUACAGAGCAAGACCCUACCUCAAAACAAAAAAAUAAAGUUUUGUGUGAAUAUAGAAGUUUUCAGUUAGCUAUCAUCUUCUAAAUUUAAAAACAAACAAAAAACAGAGUCUUGCUUUGUCGCUCAGGCAGCUGGAGUGCAGUGAUGUGACCUCGGCUCACUGCAACCUCUGCCUCCCAGGUUCAAGUGAUUCUGUGCCUCAGCCUCCCCAACAGCUGGAACUGCAGGUCCGCGCCACCAUACCCAGCUGAUUUUUUGUGUUUUCAUUAGAGAUGGGGUUUUGCCAUAUUGCCUAGGCUGGUCUCAAACUCCUGAGCUCAGGCAAUCCACCUGCCUCAGCCUCCCAAAGUGCUAGGAUUAUAGGCAUGGGUCACUGUGCCCAGCCCAUUUUCUAAAUCUUAUAGUGACAAAUUAUUUGUUUAUAACCAUCAUGUCCCUUCAAUACCACAGGCCUCUUUCCUCAUUCUCUUUGAGGACUUCCUAUGGUUCAAUGAGAGAAUACAACUAAUGUCCUAGACAAAUGCUAAAGCAUUAUAUAAAUAAGAGGAGAUAUGAUUAGGAGGUUGCAGUGAGCCGAGAUAGUGUCACUGCACUCCAGCCUGCUGACAGAGCGGGACUCCAUCUCAAAAAACAAAACAAAACAGAACAAAAAGAAAUUUAUUUUUGGCCAGGUGCAGUGGCUCACACCUGUAAUCCCAACACCUUGGGAGGCCAAGGCCAGGAGAUCACCUGAGGUCAGGAGUUUGUGACCAGCCUGGCAACUUUGUGAAACCUUGUCUCUACUAAAAAUACAAAAAUCAACCAGACGUGGUGGCAGGCGCUUGUAACCCCAGCUACCUGGGAGGCUGAGGCAUGAAAAUCGCUUGAACCCAGGAGGUGGAAGUUGCAGUGAGCGAGAUUGUGCCACUGCAUUCUAGCCCAGGCGACAGAGCAAGACCUUCGUCUCAAAAAAAAAAAAAAAUUUAUUUUUUAAACUACUAAUAUCCCCUAAUUUGUUUUAUUUUUGCAUUUCCUUGAUAAAUAGCUAACAUACAUUGUGCCAGAAACUGUUCUAGGCUUUUUAUAUAUAAAAUUCACUAAAUUCUUUCAAUAACCUUGAGUAGAAAUUAGUAUUAACCCCAUUUUAUAGUUGAGGAAUAUGAGGCAUAAGAUGUAAGUAACUUGCUAAGGGUCAUGUAAGUGACCUUAGUGGCAGAACCAGGAUUCUAUUCAGGUUGGCCACCUUGAGAGCUAGGAAAUCUGCUCAAUUAUCUAUUACUCUCGUUUCCUGAGAGUGGAACUGCCUGAAGGUACAGACAUGUAGAACCAACUAAGGGUGGUAACUGUUGGGGACCAGCCUCAACACCACCCGUAGGGUACCCAAAGUCUGGUGGCGACGAAGGAAUGAGAAGAGAGAGGUUAAGAGUGCAUAAAGAGUGGGGGCCAGGGGGCCAAUUGCAAAAUGGAGGCUGCAAAAGGCUCAGAGUUCUGGUCUCCACACUAUUUACUGAGUACAAUCACUUAGAUCUAAGAAGCAGACAUUCAGGACGAAACGGUGAAAGGCAGGCAGUGCUGAAAGGAAGGCAGUGCGUCAUACACGUAAUCUACAGCAGUGGCAGUUUAAAUGAAUCUCCUUUGUGCUUAGACAGCAUAUCUUUAACUUAUCGGAGAGUAGCUGGUGGGAGCGAGCUUAACUAGGAGCCUGCAUGUCUGGCCACAUUCCAGUGCUUCAAAGGAGUGUCUUUCUCCUUGAACACAGUGUUUAUGGAUAAGAGAGCAAGUCUUGCUGAGAGCAUGGGAACAUAAUGGUGAUAAGGCUUUCCUCCUCCCACAAGAGGCCUCUUGUGGCUUUGCACAAUUUAUUGUCCCAUAUUUUUAUGGCCAGUUUAUACAGGCACCCCAUAAGCCUUUCCCCCAACAGUAACUAAGCUCUGUUCUAACAAAAAAAUUAAGAGGUUUUCUAAGAAGUUAAUUUAAUAUUACAUUUAGUGGCACUACAUGACGAGUUAGCAUUCUACUGAUGAAGAGAGUAGCUUUCCAGUUUCUACCCAUGAUGUUCAAUCCCUAACUCUCAGAAUACUGGAGUCAUUCCUUCAGCAAGCAGAAUCUUGCUGGCAGACAUUCAGUAAAGGUCUGCUACGGUGCUGACGAUAAGCAUGAUGCACCUGAAAAAACAGCAGACUGGGAGUCAGGAGUCCUGGUCCCAGCUCUUCUGCAUGUUACUUGAAGGUUGCUGGGAUUAAAUUUUAAAAAGAAAAACAAAAAAGUGCUUUAAAUUAAACUAUACAAAUGUAAAGGAUUCCUAACUAUUCUUUCCUGAACCUAAAUACACUUCACUCAUUUGGCUAGAGAUGACUUGUUUAAAUAUGGCCAAAAAAAGCGAGAAGGGAGACAGAAAACAAAACCUGUUUCAUGCAUCCUCCUAAGACCAUUCAGAUUAUGAUACUGCUCAGUAAGUUUUUCUUCCUAUUGAGAUUAAAAACACUGUUGUCAAUAAGUGGGGCCGGGUGCAGUGGCUCACGCCUGUAAUCCCAGCACUUUAGGAGGCCAAGGCAGGUGGAUCACUUGUGGUCAGGAGGAGCUCGAGACCAGCCUGGUCAACAUGGUGAAACCCCGCCUCUACUAAAAUACAAAAAUUGGCCGGGCAUGGUGGCAUGCACUUGUAAUCCCAGUUACUCAGAGGGCUGAGGCAGAACUACUUGAACCCCAGAGGCGGAGGUUGCAGUGAGCUGAGAUGGCGCCACUGCACUCCAGCCUAGGCGAAAGGGCGAGACUCCAUCUCAAAAAAAAAAAAAAGCUGGAACCAGUACACUGGAUGGCCAACAUUAGCACUGAAUCUUAAUUCUUGACACCAAACCUCUUUCAGGACAAAUAUUCCAUCAAAAACCUUAUGAAAAAACAUGGGUCAGAUUGUCAAUUUCACCAGUAAGGAUACACACUGAAGCUGAUGUGAAUUUGCAUGUUAUAGCAAAUGCUGCAGGAAACACUGAUGGUUUCAACCAUUUUAUUGACUGGUGAGUAGCUACACUGCCAUCUUCUUGUAACCCUUUUUUUUUUUUUUGAGACAGAGUCCUGCUCUACUGCCCAGGCUGGAGUGCAGUGGCAUGAUUUUGGCUCACUACAACCUCCACCUUCCAGGUUCAAGCAAUUCUCUUGCCUCAGCCUCCCAAGUAGCUGGGACUACAGGUGCCCACCACCACGCCCGGCUAAUUUUUGUAUCUUUUUAAGUAGAGACAGGGUUUCAAACAUUCUUUACAGAGAGAAAUUUCGUUAUCACACAUUUGGGCCAGGUUUCUGUCAUGUCAGCACUUGAGGAGGCUGAGACUGAAGGAUCACUUGAGGCCAGGAGUUCGAGACCAGUCGGGGUAACAUAGUGACAACCAAUCUCUGAGCCAUGAUUGUGCCUCUGCACUCCAGCCUAGGCAACAGAGACUCUGUAACAAAACAAAAUCAGGCCGGGCGCGGUGGCUCACGCCUGUAAUCCCAGCACUUUGGGAGGCUGAGGCGGGUGGAUCACAAGGUCAGGAGUUCAAGAUGGUGAAACCUCGUCUCUACUAAAAAUACAAAAAAAUUACCCGGGCAUGGUGGCGGGUGCCUGUAAUCCCAGCUACUCAGGAAGCUGAGAUGGAGAAUUGCUUGAACCCGGGAGGCGGAGGCUGCAGUGAGCAGAGAUGGUGCCACUGCACUCCAGCCUGGGCAACACAGCGAGACUCCAUCUCAAACAAACCAAACCAAACCAAACCAAACCAAACCAAACCAAACCAAACUCACAAAUGUGUCCUUAGAAUGAUGGUCCCACAAUGUAUAGCAGGAAUAUAAUUCUGAUAUAUUUUGUACUCAUAUGGCACUUUAAUUAUUUCCAGCUCUGUGCAGGCUUUCAAACAUAUAACACUGUAUUUUGUGUAUGCCUGGGCCUGCACAAAUCUACCUGUUUCCCAACUUUAACUCCUGCCCAACCUUACCCCAAAAGGUUAAUGGGGCCCAAACCUUUAGGUCUUGCCAGCUGCACCGACUUGACAAAUUCUCCACAAUAAGUCUGUACUCUGUGCGAGUAGGAGGGCCAUAUUUAUCUCGGCCACUUCUUCUAUAACCAUAUCCACCUUUGGAAGGUUCAAAUAAAUAAGAUUAUUUCAGUGGAAGAAAAGGAAAAAAAAUGACACAGCACACACCCCCCCUUAAAUAUAUUAUUUACCCCCACCCCAAACAAUAGCACGUUUUAACUCUAUUCCCACCCUUAAUUCUAAAAUAGAUUUUUAAAGAAGCAAUCAGCUAAAUAUAAACAUUUAAUUUAAAAAGUUGUAAGUAUACAUAUUCAUUAAUAUUUGCAUUUAAGAUUAACAUGCAUAAAUUUAAAACUAUUAACAAUUUAACAAUUUAGAAAUAAGUAACCAAAUUACUAAAUCAGUUACUGGUGUUACUCACAGUGAUUAAACAUUUUGUGAAUAUUUUAUAUGGAAAAAAAAAGAUUUUCAGGCACCUAUUUCAGUUUAAUCUCAUCUGUGUCUAACCCUUGGGAUCCUCACCACCCAGGUCUAAUGGGGAAAGGUUGCGGUCGUCACAUGGCUUCCUGUUUUUGGUCAGCCAAGGGCCACAAUGGUUCAAAGAGCCACGCAUGGAAAGGUAACCCAAGGUCAGCAAAUGGAACAGGCAGUCAUCUUAGCCUCAAAGGAUUCUUUUAAUUAAAACAUUGAGGUCUUUGUUAAAUCUAUGUUAAACAAUUGCAUUACAGAGAAAAAAACAACAACAACACAAACACACAUCAUUAAACAUAUUUAUAAAGUAUUAUAAACAAGAAAUUGUCAUUAGUUUAAUUAAAAUUAAACAUUAUCAAAGGCUUAUUUGUAAUUCUACAUUUUUAAAAAAGAUACAUAAUUUACAAAAUAGCUUAAACAUCAAUACGUUUAAAUGUAAUAUCAAUUAAUUACUUUAAAAAUUAGCAUGAUAACAAAAGCACGUUACUGAUAAAAGUAUGCCCUUUGAAUGCUUACUGCGUCCAGAACCGUAACUGCCAUCUCGCCGUGGGCCGCGGGCAUGCUCAACAAUUACUCGCUCACCACAAAGGUCUUUGCCAUUCAGUUCAUAAACAGCAUCAUCUGCAUCACGCAGAUCAUCAAACUCCACAAAACCAUAUCUAGAAGAGAGCAAAGAAAAUACUGGUUGGUACCAUUUUGACAUCCAGCUUCACUAACAUUAAAGAGAAAGCAAUGAGGUUCAUGCUUAGCAAAGGUUAGGUGGAUUUUGCAAACUAAGGAUCAACUUUGUCUUCUCUUCAGGUGAAACCACUUUGCUUUGUGCCAACAGGCACUGAAAGAGGUAGGGAGACUUCUCAAAGUAGACUCCUAUCUUUCUAGGAGGAGGCUGGCUACAUACACAGGACACUUCUUUUGUUUCCCAAGUAGUUGGUGGCAACUGCAAAGACAGGGAUGCUUGGUAUAAGAAUCCAAAAUAUAUAAUGCUACAAGACAUAUAACGCUCUUUCAAACACCACAUAAAACUCAUCUUUUUUAGCUUUAAAAGUGGUAUCUUAGAGAACAAUUAGACCUACAUUCAGGCACUGUGUAAUAACUGUUGAAUCAUGUGAAAGUAAAAAACUUUUUUUUAAGGUUCCUGUUCCUCUACGUAAACACAUCUGUCACAUGUGAUUAUCAGUGAAAAAAAGACUGGAGCUGUUUACUUCCCUGUGAGAUUCCAAAUUCAUUUCCAUGAAGUUUUAGAAUAGGAUGGAAUUCUCUGAAAUCUGUAUACAACUCGUGCAAACUUCUUUAAAUGGUAUUGCUACAUCUUUUCCAGCCAAGAGGUUUGGUGGCUUAACAUAUAACCAAAAGAACCCCCACCAUCCUACUAAUGCCUAUUAAAGAGUACAAUUUAUAUAGCUAAAGUGCAAAAUUUGUAAGAUACUUAUAAGCAAGGUUAUACAAAUGCCCUGUAAAUUAUGUUUUCAAGAAAUAUUUAGUUUGGUCUGACACAGCUGUGAAAAGUCCAGCUUUGUGACCAUUGCCUAUAUUUAAAAACCAAAACCAUCUUAUUGAUCAUAACUAAUCAGAAAGGAAAGUUACAAGCAAUUUCUUUAAACUCUAGUAAGGCUGUGUGUACACGGGCACACAGACUAGUGUUCCUCUGCAUUUAAACACACUGACACUACAAACAAGUUACAAGACUUGUCAGAGGGUCACUCAGCCUGCUGACAAAAAAUGAUUCCAGUUUACUUAUUUAUUUAUUUAUUUUAUUUUUUGAGACAGAGUCUCGCUGUCGCCCAGGCUGGAGCGCAGUGGUGCGAUCUCAGCUCACUGCAACCUCCACCUCCUGGGUUCAAGUGAUUCUCCUGCCUCAGCCUCCCGAGUAGCUGGGAUUACAGGCGCACGCCCCCAUGCCUGGCUACUUUUUGUAUUUUUAGUAGAGACAGGGUUUUGCCAUGUUGGCCAAGCUGGUCUCAAAACCUCAGGUGAUUCGCCCUCCUGGGCCUCCCAAAGCGCUAGGAUUAUAGGCGUGAGCCACUGCGCCCGGCCUCCAGUUUCUUUAGAAUGUGAUGCUAUACUCAGUAACAUGUUAAAUAAGUGAGAACUCAGAAUUGUGGAAUUUUUCCUUUACUAAAGAGUUCCUUUCAUACAACAGUCUCUCAAGGUGACAAUGUGCUAGGUUACAAUGUGUAGGUAACAACGUUGGAGGGUUUUUUAUGUUGAAAUGUCUGAGUGGCACUGAAUGUCAACUCCAUUAAAAAAAAUUAACACAGACACACCCGGUUAUUUAACAGGAAGUGCCUUGCAGUAACACAAUUCAGAAGCCACCUGGCUCAAUUUAUGGGCUGUGAAGUCUUUAAAACAUAGUUUCACGCUUCCAUAGGCUAGAAUUGCUGAGCAGCUUAAUAAGAAGGAUUUUGAACAUGCUGUUAUCUUAGAAAAGGCAAGUAAAGCCUCUCGAAAUCCCUGACUUACUAUGUUCAAAAGUGCUUUACAGUGACUAAAAAUCUAUUAAUAGAUAAUAUAAUGUAGCUGCUUUUUCCUUUCUUAGAUAGAAUGGGUCAUUAGGAAAACUAUACUAUUAUUUUCAGAGACAAUUUUUCUUUUAAGGCAAAUAAAAAACCAACUCAACUAUUUUCUACUUUGGUUUAUCUCUAGAUGGAUUCAAAACAAUAACAACAACAAAAGUGCCCUCCUGAAUUUAAUUGUCAAGACCAGUCCCAAGUCUCCUCUGUCCACAGCAUCACUGCUUUUGGCACCAUGUGAGAGCCUGACGCCAUGCGGAGGGAGGAGGGACAUUUGGCCUGGGCGUGAUGGAAUGGCCUCCACUCCCUUCGAGUCAUACUCUGGCUCGGCACUGUUCAAUGACUGAAUGACCAGGACUGAUCUAACGUGAUCUUAGAAGGACAUCACCGAAUCCUGAGGAUUAAACAAACCACAGGAAAAUACCAACUGUUUUCCUCAAAAUAGUGAAGGGUUACAACUACUGGGCAGAGGGGGUGGUCACAGAAUGCAACAUCCUAAGCUCUGCAGGUCAACUGAAAUAGAAAGCCCAGUGGCCGCUGAUGGCAAGUGAUGCUUCUGUCAGACCUACAUGGUAAUACAUUCUCCCAGACUCAAAGAUCACCCUGUUCCAAGGCUCAUAUGCAGAACUUAUCCUGACCUUUCAGAGAAAGCAGUGACAAUCUGUUCAGUGGAGGCAGGUUAAUUUAAAAAUAAAAAUUAAUGUUACGACAGAUGAAUCUUUCUUUGCAAGCUGAGAAUGAAGCAAGGCAUAUCUUGCCAAUAAAACUUCCUUGAGUUACAGGGACAACUGGUAAUGUUACAGAAAAAUCCCUACAAACCUCCCCCAGUAUUUACUUCUAAAAAGUUCCAACAAGUGGGUCACUUGGUAAGCCUGUUUUGGGGGUAUCCAAAACAUUUAUUAAAUUAGCUGACUUGAGAUUAAAUUUAUUUUACAGAAAAAUUUUGGCUACUAUUCUGUGAAAAAAUCUAUUUGAAACAUAUCAAAGUUCAGUUCAAGGAUCAAAUCAGGCAUCUGAUUGUCACUUCUCUCUGCCAUUGACAUGCUGAGUGGGUUUGGAAGAUUAAAACAAACAUCUUCGCAUACAACAAACCAUAUCUGAUACGGACUCUUGUUCUGAGAAUAAAGCAAAGAGCAGAUCAGUGUGGUUGUUUCUACCAAGUCUGCUUUACUUGAAGAAUGACUUAAUUUCAUUCAAUAAAUAGAGUGAAUAAGAUAGAAAUAAAUUAAGACAGAAGACUAGAUAAUAAAAAUAAAAUGUUACCUCUGACUAAACAAUCUCUCUAUUAAGCAAUGGUAUCGUAGUUUAUAUUCAUAGCACCCAUCAGCUAGGUACUAUUAUUUCUGUUUUACAAAUGAAGAAAUCAAGGCACAGAAUAUUAAAUAACUUGCAUAAAAAAACCCCGCCGAGCUGGCAUUCAAACCUGUGGUUUGACACCAGGGCUGAAACUCCCUAACUAUUAAGACUGAAGCAGCAAGAACCGACCUGGGUUCUAGUCUUGGUUCUGCUACAAACUUUGAAGAGCAAAUUUAAAUCAUUUUAUUUCUCUGGGUCUUAGUUUAUUCAUGAAAUGAGGGAAGUAUACUGCAUAUCUCCAAGGCUUCGACUAACAUCAAAAGCAUGACAGGUUAAGUGUUAAAAUUAGUGCUCCUUUGGUUUAACAAUGGAGAUGGGGUCUCAAUAUGUUAUCCAGGCUGGACUUGAACUCCUGGGAUCAAGGGAUCCUGCGGCUUCAGCCUCCCAAGUAGCUGGGAUUACAGGCACACGCCACUGUGCUGGGCUUCAAAAAUGGAAAAUUUAAACUCUAAAAUUUGACAUGCCUGCACUAGGAUGGUACCACCAGACACCAACAGAUGAAAAGGGAUACAUUUUUAUCAUCUAAAAUACCUUUUAUGUAUGGGUCCCAAUUUUAGUUCAUUUAAACACUUUUAACUGUUCCUGAAUUAAUUAGUGCCUUCAACAAAGUAAAGCUCUUCCUGGUAACUAACACUAGAGCCUUUUAAAGCCAAGCUUAACACUCCCUUUGUGCUUUGCAGCAAGUAACGUGAAACAAAUCUCUUUUCUCAGAAAGCAAUCUCCUUUUGAAUCCUCUGUCAGAGUAAAAAGGAAUAUAAAAUACACACAUGCAUGUAUACAUACUAUUAUAUGUAUGCACGUGUGUACAUAUAUGUAUAUACAUCUCUGGUGUGACUUGUGAAUAAGCCUCACAAAACAACCCAAGAGAUAAAUUUCUCUAAUUCUAACAGCAGAAAUCCUUCCUCUUCUGCUCUAUUAAAAACAAAGAACACCUUUCAAUAAUUCAUAGGAUGCAGGAAUUCAGGAGAAAGAAUCUAAGACAAAUGUAAAAACCCCUCCACAGCAGGGAUUGACAGAAACACAAAGAGCCCUGCGAUACACUUUCAAUCUUCCUCCCCUAUGCAUAUGAAAGAAUAAAAAGCAUGACCUCACUAUUCAAUACACAACACCCUUCAAGUAAGAGAAGAAACUCCUUUCUUUAAUGUUUCUCUGCAAUAGGUUGAGUAUUCUGAAUCCGAAAAUCCAAAAUCUGAAAUGCUCGAAAAUCCGAAACUUUCUGAGCAGCAACAAGAUGCUCAAAUUUGCUCAUCAGAACAUUUUGGAUUUUGUUUAGGAAUGCUCAACCAUUAAGUACAAUACAAACAUUCCCAAAUCCCAAAAAAAACCCUGAAAUCCAAAAUUCGUCUGAUCCCAAGCACUGUGUUGUCUUUACCAAAACUAUUUUCCUCUGGUCACAUUCUAUCCUCACAAACCUAGUCAAAAGAAUGAGGGGAAGUUGCUGUCAUUUUCCCUGUAAAAAAAGGCAGGCACCAUGAGUCUUACCAAGUAUAGACAGGUAUCUGGAUACCACAAACAAAAGCCACACUGAAUUACAUGGGCUGCUCUAAACUUUAGUCCAUUCUUAUCCCAUUGCCAAUGCGCUCAUCUUCGUCAUUCAAUAGCUGAUGUACUGCUCAGGUUAUCAGUCAUAAUUCUGAAAAGGUAGAACUGGAAUGACGUAUUUUUAAAACUAAGGUACUCUAAGACUUCAACUUUUGAAAUGUUAACCACACUUCUUCAGGCAAGAAUUAUUAUCUGAGUUUGUAUCCUUGCUAAAUAUCCUUUCUCUGAUCCUAAUAGCCUAUACCAAUGGUCCCAAACACCAAGUCUGCCCUUUGCUCUGUUAUGUUCUACUGAAUAGGAUUUACCUCAACUCUUUUCAGAACAGCUUAGGGUCACUUCUGUAUUCCAAACAUCUUCACUGAACAGGGAGACUAAGUCCUGUCUGCAAUCUAAUACCCAUGGCUUGCUCUGGAAACAGGCUGAUCAAUGGCUAACUGGGCAAGGCAUGACUAAGGGGGUGCUCAAUACCAGAAACUGCUAGGGAGUGGGUAUGAGGAGCAGGGGAAAGCAAGCCUCCAUGCGUGUGACCGUGGUCACCCACCAACACUGCUUACCGAGGGGCAUGCCUUGGAUGGUCUCUCUAUAAGAAAAUAUGCCCCUUUCCACGGUGGAUCUCUGCUCACCUUUGUCCUAAAACUGUGCCACAUGCUUUUCUUUGUAUGUGGACAUGACAGUCCUCAGCCAACCAUCAGCAGGAUGUGAGUUUUGUUUUCACAAUGUGGUGAGCCAUUCCCACAUUCACUCAUUUUCCUUGUAAGAACCGAACCUCUCCAUGGCUGGUCAGGAUUAGGGAUGUUGCUGUAGCCAAGGAAAAAUUUUCAUCUGUUGAAGUUAACCCACGGGGUGGCUUGAACCCUCAAUCUAGAGUCAGUAGCACUGUACUUUAAGGGGAAAGUCCUUAAAUCUACCCUGAAAGAAAUGGCAUUCAGUGAACAGGAAUCAAACAGCUUUGUUUCAAAGCACUCAGUGAUGUCCUAUGCUUCAGCCAACUUGGUCUUAUGAGGUAAAAAGUCAGGACACACUGAUAGGACAGUACUAAAAAAACGGUAAUUCUUGCUGUCUGCAUAAAGUGCUUGGCAAACUGUAGAAAGACACUUCUGCAACCAACUCUAGUGCUCAGAAGAGGCCAACUCAGAGAAAAGCUUGUGAAUGAGAACAGUGUAACUGCCCCGAUUCCAAAGGUCUGCAACAUUCCAGGGAACCAGCGUUCAGGCCCUCACAGAAGAAUUAACCAAUGUCACAUUUACUGCUCAGGAUCAGUGAUUAUGGUUGCAAUUUGACUUUCCUGGCAACAGAGGGUUGUUUACAACCCACAACUAAAAGCUGCUACCACAUGAAAUGGGUUCCUGAGAUCCUUUCCUUUCUUGAGACAGGAAGGAGGCUGCUCUGGGCAUUGUGGCCUCUCUUUAGUCUCAGAGGAGGGAGGGCCAUCAAGGCCACCUGGAGGAGGUGGAUGACUUACCCGUGCUCACUGAGUGGCAGAGCUGGGGUGCGACUUCAGGGCUCACCAUUACCCAGUCUGGGACUCUUUUCACGUCGGCAAACUGGCAGUUCCCGCACACCAAGGGCUCUCUGAUUAGAGCUAGUGUGGAUUCCUGGUCUGCAAACGUUGGCCACAGCUCAGUCUGCACUUGAUCUUUCCCCACCUUCAAAGAAGAAAACCUACCUCAUGAUUUCUCUCUUCCGGAUCCCUUGACCAUCUAAUUUGCUCCCAACACCUUUGUAAUCACUUCUGACUAUAUCUUAUUGGUUACCCACUGGGUCUACUGCCAAGUUCUGCAGUUUUCUCAUUUGCUGGGCCUUCAGGGCUGUCUCUACCAUUUGGAUUAAUUUAUGUAAUUCUAGGCUAGAGCUAUUUUUACUUAGUCAACUUGUCUUUUGCAUUGUGUCAGGAAAAGUCAGCUACUAAAUCAUUUUUUUGUUUAGAAGUCUAUAACGACUCCUAAGUAUCUUUAUGUCACUCUCUAAACCUGGAACACCUUGACUACACAAGUUGAAUUAUAUCAAUCUUCUUCCAUAUGCUUGAGAAUUACCUCUUUCAUGAAGCCUCAGAAACUUGCCUAUUCCAAUUAUUUUAGGACUUUCUUUAGCUUUAGCACUUCUAUUCAAUUUUACGCUUUUUGUUUUUGUUUUUUUGAGAUGGAGUCUCGCUCUGUUGCCCAGGCUGGAGUGCAAAGGCACAAUCUUGGCUCACUGCAGCCUCCACCUCCCAGGUUCAAGCAGUUCUCCUGCCUCAGCCUCUUGAAUAGCUGGAAUUACAGGCACACGCCACCACGCCCAGCUAAUUUUUAUAUUUUUAGUGGAGACGGGGUUUCACCAUGUUGGUCAGGCUUGUCUCAAACUCCUGACCUUGUGAUAUGGCCGCCUCAGCCUCCCAAAGUGCUGGGAUUACAGGCGUGAGCCACUGUGCCCAGUCAUGUUUCUGUAGCUUUUUAAGUCUUGUUUUUGUCUUUGUGCUUACCUUCUCUUUUGAUUAUGAGCUCUUCACUAAGAAAAACGAAGGCUAAUAUCUGUUGGCUAUUUAGCACAGUGCCUGGCACAGUAAAUAAUUUAUCCAUAAUAUUUCAUCCAUUUGUAUAUCAAAUGUGAAGAAUGUAUUAUUAUUCUUCUCAUUUUACAAUGAGAAACUGAGGCUUGGAGUAAGCAACUUGCUCAUUUUCAAGGAGCUCAUGAGUGAAGGAGCUAGAUUUGAACCCAGACCCAUGACUCUAAAAAUCCCAGCUCUAAACCACAAGGUUCUAAUUCCUUUUUUUUUUUUUUUUUAAAAAAAACAUAGUCUCGCUCUGUCGCGCAGGCUGCAGCGCAGCGGCGCGAUCUCCACUCACUGCAACCUCUGACCCUGGGCUCAAGCAAUUCUUGUACCUCAGCCUUUAGAGUGGCUGGGACUACAGGUGUGCACCACCAUGCCCGGCAAAUUUUUUGUAAUUUUUUUUUUUUUUUUUUUAGGAGAGACAGGGUUUCACCAUGUUGCCCAGGGUGGUCUCGAACUCCUGAGCUCAGGCAAUCCACCUGCCUUGGCCUCCCAAAGUGCUAGAAUUACAGGCAUGAGCCACCAUGCCCGGCCUUCUACUGUAUUUUAAAGGCAGAUGCUUCUCUUCCAGUCCUGUGUACAAUCUUUUUUCACUCAAUAAAUGCUGCUGCUUGACUUAAUGAUACUCUAACAUCAGAUAAAGUCAGGCUGUAGUAAAGGUUUUUGAUAUAAUGGGGUAAAGUCUCUAGAGAAAAAAGAAAUUGACCUUGGGGCAGGGUGAAGCACCUCUAAGCUGGGGGUAUGUGACAACCAGGUUACUUUCACUCGUCUUUUGGUUCCCAUUAGCCAGUGUCAGCCAUCUGGUCCUUCCGAAAACAUGUGUGGGUUCAGAACAUAACAGACUAGAAGAAUAGAGGAAAAAUAAGAUUAUUCUGUGCAAUCCCCAUUCUGGAGGUCCCAUAUCAACCCCCGGAGUCUGUCUUUGCUUCUAAGGCUCAGCAAAAAUUAGACCAGCAUAAAGAAGAUGAAGACUUGGAUCUAGACGUGGUGGAUGUGAAUGAAUAUUGGCAAUAUUAUGUAUUUAGGAAUGUAUUUAAUUAGUUUUGCAAGGAAUGGUGACUUGAACCAAAAAAUAUAAGCGUGAAUGGUAGGAGGGAAAUGGGCCAGAAAUCAAAGAAUACUAGAAAGUUUACAGACUUUCAACUAUACAAAGGUUAAAGCAGCAACCAGAAAAGUACCAUGCAGAUGAUAAACAUCUAAGAUGUGAUUUAAUUUUCAUUAACUAAAAACUAUUUUUAACAUGCAGCCCACUAGGACUCUUCUUCACAUUUCUUUGUAAUAAUUACUACUCCUAUUUUUGAAAGUUUUACGAUGUAUAAAGCAUUAUGCUAAGUGCUUUACACACAUUAUAUCCAUUUAAUUUUCACAACUCUGAGGUUUACUGUCAUCUGACAGAUCAAGAAACUAACUUAGAGGAGUUGAGUAACUUGCCAAGACUAUCCCAAAGACCUGGGAUUCUUCACACCCAGCUAACCUAAAACCUGCAUUCUACCACCACGUUUUAACCGCCUCCUAUAUACCAAUGAAAAGUGGUCCAUAAAACCAGAGUUGGAGAAACACAAGCUCUUGCACAGAAAAUCAGUUUCAUCAAAUUAUGUGCUGUAGUGUGGAAGACAAAUGCCCACAGGAAUAUAAGCAUCUUAUGAGAAAGAGUAAGUGGCAAGAAAACACCAUUUCUGCAUGUGAUGUGUGUGUGCUAAUACCAGUAAGUUGUGAACAUUUAUUCUCUACAAGUGGAACCAAACCCAUAUGCCAUCAAAAUUUUAAUACUAGUCUAGGAAAAUAGAAAAAGGUAACAAAUCAUUAAGAAACUUAUAUCUCAGCAAUGAGAACACAAAUAUAUCAGUGGGAAAAUUAAACUCAUGAUCCUUUCUCAUAAAGUAAACCAACUGCUGAAAAAAAAUCUCUAAUGAUGAACUAACCAAACUCAAGCCCAUGGUAUUGAGUCCACAUUGCAGAUAACAGCCCAUCUCUAACAGAAUAUAUAUUCACAUAGUAGGGUGAGAAAAACAGAACAAUCAUUAUCCUAAACACCAAACAGUAAAACUAAAUCCUCCCAGAAUGGGAGGUAGAGAGGAAUCUGCAUCAAAUAUGAAUUUAGUCUUACUCUGUAACUACUCUAUGAGCCUAUUUGCCAACUUUGUUUUAGCUAUUCAAAACUUUCAAAAAUGAACUAAGUCAGCUAAGGUAUUUCACUUUUACACUGCAAAUAGUUUGUGGAUCAAACUAUCAUUACCCCCUGCAAUCAUAACUGAACUUUCUUUUUUGAUAUUUUAAAGUCAACAUGGCUUUCCUGAAAGGGAGGGCAGAUACAAUCAUCUGUGUCCAUUUCAAUUUUCUGACACUUUUCAACACUAAGGAUAAAUGAAAUUGAAAGCUUUCAAAAAAGGGGAAUCAACUAUUGCCUGAUGACAAGAAGUUCGUGAAGACUCAACCACAAAUUAAAAACGAUUUGAAAAAACUCGAGAGAUGAAAGUCACAUUACCAAUUUAGAAUAAAACUCUUGGGAUUUAAUAUAGAAUUACUUUAUCUGUUAUUCCUACUUAAAGAAAUAAAGGUUUACACUCUGCAGACAGCACUACCUGAUUCCACACAAAAGCUACAAACAAAACCAGUUCAUACUUACCUCUUAAACAACACAAUGAGCAGGCUGCCAGGUGUUAAAGCUUCAUUAAAGAUGAUGCCUCUUGGAUCAUCUUGGCUGUAUGAGGCACCAUGUCCCUCAUAAUCGCCCCUGGUCCCUGGGCUGGAGUCUGUUUCUUCAUUUUCAUUUUUGGUUAAAGAUGCCACUCCCUAUGCUUUUAUUAAUUAGUGGAUGCCACUAAUUAAGUAUUUUAAUGAAUUUUUCAAAUUCUUUUAAAAUGGAUGGAUCAAUAGCUUCAUUUCAAUUACAUGAAAACCUUUCCAAGUCCAUGUUUCUGGUCUGUGGUUCCUGACUCCCUUGCCUGAGCCUCCUGCUCUGUCUGCCCUCUUCAUUCCUGAAGGCUGAAUUCAAACCUCCCUCUUUCAGACUUCCUCUUCUCUCUAGGUCUUGGGGGUCUUUGUUCAUGAAGGUCCCCUUUCUGGCAUAAAAACCUAAACCCAUGGUUGGGGACCUGGGAGAAAUAAAGUGCCUUUCAAGCGCUUCUUCAGACAUUGCGUGCAGUUCAGAAAUCUUUAGCCUGGGAGACUUUCAUCUCAACACACAGAAAACUCAAGUAAAACAUUUCCUCAAACUAUGGGCAUACAAAUUCAGAGCAUAAUCUAAUCCCUCACCUUCAGGGUACUAUAAGACCAGACGGCCCUAGGAAUGACAAUAAGGCAGAGAACAUUUACUUGUACAAAUCCUUCCUCAGCCAACCACGAUAAAGCUGAUACCACCUUACAGCUUUUCAAAGAGUAGCCUGAGGAGGAGAAUCACUAGCAGUCUCCAACUAAGGACAACAUCAUAAAAAAUACCAUCUGUCUCACUUUUGGCAGUAACUUGUCAGCUUGCUGGAAGCCUCUACAGAGACUAAAGGCUGAACAAGCCCGGAAACCUGAACUACCCUCUCACCCUCAGAGGCAAUCCCCAAAGGACAGGACUAAAGGAAAUAGCAUGAGGGAAGCUUUGAAUGUCAAUGCCCACAUGUAUCUAGUAUGGGAAUUUAAAAAAUCUUCUAUUUCCGGAGUUGUCAAUAACUCAUUUUGUAACCUUGGGCCAGUCACCUUAUCACCCCAUGCCUCAGUUUCCCCAUCAGUACAAACUAGGGACAACACUUGUUCAUAAAGUACUUUGACAUACUCAGUUGAAAAAUAAGUCAUACAAAUGCAUUAAUAUUUUCGGAAGUUUUAAGAUUUCAGUGUUAGCUUACAAAUUUGUAAGUAUCACCCCAACGGUAUUCUCUCAGAUGCCUGGAGCACCUUUCUUCUGAGGAGCUCAAAGUAAAAUUUGCGGUUCUGGGUACCUGGAAGCAUAAAAAAAUACUAGAAACCCAAACCACAUUUUAUUACCGAGUCUAUAUCCUGUGCCUAUCUUUUAAGAAGGGACAAAUACUUCGUAUGGCCCUUAAAUUCAUACAGUACCUCAAUGAGAAAGGAGGAGCAAAACAGUAUAUUAAACUGAAGAACAGGGAUUUUAAAUGACUUAGUCAAAUAAUUACAAAUGAUGUUUAUUCAUACCACAAACUGAAGGGACCAAGAACCAAGGAGUGGAGGUCUUGAACCAGGGCAAUUUACGCUGUUAACAUUUGGUCAAAAAUCUCAAUAUGGUAUUAUCUCUUGGCAUUGAUUUUUCAAAAUGACAGAAAAAAAUUAAAUUCCCCAUAUAUUGGGGGAAAAAAAUAAUACACUUUUUUGGGGGGUAAGUUGACUUUAAAAAGUGACUUUUAAUAAAAAAAAAUUUGAUCACAUUUGUAAUAGUUAUAUUACUAAUAAAACAAUGACAGAAUGCUACUUAAUUCAUAGUCCUAUCUCUAUUUAUUAUUCAUUCAAGAAAAACUUCCUGAUUAUUUUUCACUUGGUAAAUUAGCAUCUUUUAUUUUUAUUUUUUAUUUUUGAGACAGAGUCUCACUCUGUCACCCAAGCUGGAGUGGAAUGGUGUGAUCUCACACUGCAACUUCCGCCUCCCGGGUUCAAGCGGUUCUCCUGCCUCAGCCUCCCGAGUAGCUAGGAUUGCAGGAGCCUACCACCAUGCCCAGCUAAUUUUUGUAAUUUCAGUAGAGACAGGGUCUCAUCAUGUUGGUCAGGCUGGUCUCGAACUUCUGACCUCAGGUGAUCCGCCCGCCUUGGCCUCCUAAAGUGCUGGAAUUACAGACGUGAGCCACCACGCCUGGCCAGCAAACACAACAGGGGUACUCCAUGCUGUUGAAGUGCCCAUCACACGGGCAUGCUCAUACACUGCGGGUGUUAAGUGUAACUGGUGUAGCUUUUCUGGAAAGUUAUUUGGUUAUAUGCACUGAGAUACUUGAAUAUGUUCACUCCUGCUGUGACACAUGAAUUUUAUUUCAUGGAAUCCAUAUGUACUCAGGGAUAAUAAAAAUGCAAACAAAGUUUUAUGCACAUAAUACCCAUCACAGGGUUACUUAUAACAGCAAGAAUUAGGAGACCAAAAAAAAGGUAGACAAUAUAAGAGGAAUGGUUGGGUAAGUCAUAAUAUUGCCAUACAAUGGAUUUUAUGAAGCCAUUAAUAAGGAAGAUUUUAAUGUAAUAGAAAAUACAUGAGAUAAAUUAAGUAAAAAAAGCGUGACACAAAAUUGCACGUAAAACCUCACCCAUCUUAAAAGGAUGCUUAAUGAUACUUUUCACUUUAUGCUUUCAUAAUAUCUAAAUGAUCUACAAUUAACCUACAUUUAUUCUCUAAUGAGUCAAAAAGGCUUUUUUUUUUUUUUUUUUUUUUUUUGAGACAGAGUCUUGCUCUGUCAUCCAGGCUGGAGUGCAGUGGUGCGAUCUCGGCUCACUGCAAGCUCAGCCUCCCGGGUUCACGCCAUUCUCCUACUUCAACCUCCCAAGUAGCUGGGACUACAGGCGCAGGCCAACAGGCCCGGCUAAUUUUUUUUGUAUUUUUUUUUUAGUAGAGAUAGGGUUUCACCAUGUUAGCCAGGAUGGUCUCGAUCUCCUGACCUCGUGAUCCGCCCGCCUCGGCCUCCCAAAGUGCUGGGAUUACAGGUGUGAGCCACCACGCCUGGCCUAAAAAGUUGUUUUUUUUUUUUCUUUUUUUUUUUUUUUUUUGAGAUGGAGUCUCACUCUGUUGCCCAGGCUGGAGUGCAAUGGUGCAAUCUCGGCUCCCGGGUUCUAGCGAUUCUCCUGCCUCAGCCUCCUAAGUAGCUGGGAUUACAGCAAGUGCCACCAUACCCAGCUAAUUUUUGUCUUUUUAGUACAGACGGGGUUUCACCAUGCUGGCCAGGCUGGUCUCAAACUCCUGACCUCAAGUGAUCCGCCCACCUCAGCUUCCCAAAAGUGCUGGGAUUACAGGUGUGAGCCACCGCACCUGGUCCAAAAAGUUCUUGAAUUUGUUAUGCUUGAUAGGCUAAAUAGACAAGCCUUAAAGGCUGCCAAAUGAUUUCCUCAUAUAUAAUUCUAAACAUUUUAAUUAGAAAAAAUUAGUUUAAAAAAUUAUAAUAAAGGGCACUGUUCAGAAAAGUAGGAACUCUUGGUGGGUGCGGUGGCUCACGCCUGUAAUCCCAGCACUUUGGGAGGAUGAGGUGGGCGGAUCACCUGAGGUCAGGAGUUUGAGAACAGCCUGGCCAACAAGGUGAAACUGUGUCUCUACUAAAAAUACAAAAAUUAGCGGGGUGUGGUGGCAGGCGCCUGUAAUCCCAGCUACUUGGGAGGCUGAGGCAGGAGAACUGCUUGAACCCGGGAGGCAGAGGUUGCAGUGAGCUGAGAUCAUGCCACUGCACUGCACUGCAGCCUGGGAGACAGAUUGAGACCCCAUCUCAAAAAAAAAAAGAAAAAAGAAAAAAAAAAAUAGGAGCUCUUAAACACCGCAGGUGGAAACGUAAAUAUUAAUUUACCGAGUAAUGGAAUAGCUAGCAAAAGCAUUAAAAUGUGUAUAUGCUUUGACUCCCAAAGUCUACUUGCAGGAAUCUGCCCUAAGGCAAAAAGAAAUGUAUACAAAAAUUCAUAUAAAGGAUAUUCAACAGUAUUAUACAUGCAUAAAAUAGUACAAAAAUAAAGAUAACCUAAAUGCCUUGCAACAUGGUUCUGAUUAUGUCCAUUAAAUAACAUAUGUAUGUUGGAGUACUAUGUAGCCAUUAGAAACCAGGUUGUAGGAGAAUACUUAAUGACAAAGGAAAAGGAUCAGGCUGUUAGGGUGAAACAAGCAAAUUAUAAAAUAACUUAUAGUAUGAUUCCAAGUUUGGAAAAAAAAAAGGAGUCAGGAGAGGCAUAAGAAAAGGGAGAGACUGUGCAGGAGAUAGGUUUUUUUUUUUUUUUUUUUGAUGGAGUCUUGCUCCAUCACCAGGCUGGAGUGCAGUGGCCCGAUCUAGGCUCAUUGCAACCUCCACUUCCUGGGUUCAAGCAAUUCUCCUGCCUCAGCCUCCUGAGUAGCUGGGACUACAGGCGUGCGCCAUCAUGCCCAGCUAAUUUUUGUAUUUUUAGUAGAGACAGGGUUUCACCAUGUUGGCCAGGAUGGUCUCAAUCUCUUGACCUUGUGAUCUGCCAGCCUUGGCCUCCCAAAGUGUUGGGAUUAUAGGCGUGAGCCACCACAACUGGCCGGUGGGUUUUUUAAUUAAAAAAAAAAAAAAGAAAAGAAGAGAGACAGAGUGCGUGCGUGCACAUGCCCAUACCUGUAUGUGAAAAAAAGUAAAACUAAAAAACCCAAAAUGCAAAGAGUUACAUCUUUGGAUUAUUUUGGUCCUUCUCCAUAUAAAAAAAUUAUAAUAGGCCAGGUGUGGUGGCUCACGCCUGUAAUCCCAGCACUUUGUGAGGUAGAUCACUUUGAGGUCAGGAGUUCAAAACCAGGCUGGCCAACGUGGUGAAACCCCGUUUCUACAAAAAAUACAAAAAUUAGCCGGGGGUGGUGGUGCACACCUGUAAUCCCAGCUACUUGGGAGGCUGAGGCAGCAGAAUCGCUUGUACCUGGGAGGUGAGCCACGAUUGUGCCACUGCAUUCCAGCCUGGGCAACAGACAGAGACUCCAUCUCAAAAAAAAUUUCCGGCCGGGCGUGGUGGCUCACGCCUGUAAUCCCAGCACUUUGGGAGGCCGAGGCGGGUGGAUCAUGAGGUCAGGAGAUCGAGACCAUCCUGGGUAACACAGUGAAACCCCGUCUCUACUAAAAAUACAAAAAAUUAGCCGGGAGCGGUGGCGGGCUCCUGUAGUCCCAGCUACUUGAGAGGCUGAGGCAGGAGAAUGGCGUGAACCCAGGAGGCGGAGCUUGCAGUGAGCCGAGAUUGCGCCACUGCACUCCAGCCUGGGCGACAGAGCCAGACGCUGUCUCAAAAAAAAAAAAAAAAAAAAAAAAAAAAAUUUCCAAUUAUAAAUAUGUGCUACUUUGAAAAUUAAGAGUGGGUCUUUAAUUUUAACUAUACAUAAAGAGAGUUAUUCAAACACGCUUUUAAACAAAACUUGUUUUAACCUCUUCUUAGAUAAUCCUAAAAUUAAUCCAGAACCAAAUGUCUUCCUUUUCUUAACAUAGACUCUAAUGCUUUGUACAUGCCAGUGCAAAUGGGAUGCUAUUUCUGAGGCUGGCAGAAGGGCUUAAAAACAAAAAGGUGGCCGGGCAUGGUGGCUCACACCUGUAAUCCCAGCACUUUGGGAGGCCGAGGCAGGUGGAUCAUGAGGUCAGGAGAUCAAGACCAUCCUGCCUAACACGGUGAAACCCUGUCUCUACUAAAAAUACAAAAAAUUAGCCGGGCGUGGUGGCACGCGCCUGUAGUCCCAGCUACUUGGGAGGCUGAGGCAGGAGAAUUGCUUGAACCCAAAAGGCGGAAGUUGCAGUGAGCUGAGAUUGUACCACUGCACUCCAGCCUGGGCGACAGAGCAAGACUCCAUCUCAAAAAAAACAAAAAACAAAAAACAAAAAAACAACAAAUAGGUGGUAGGGUUCCUAAAGGCAAAGUGUUUGCUUUUUCUUUUGUCACUCAUUAGUUAUAGCAUUAUCAUAAAAAUGAUAAAGCACUUCUCUGCCACUUGGUGGUGGGUGAAGAUAAUCCCUCUCAUGAUUAAGAAUACGGUAACGAUGAAUGACAGAGCCUUGGGAGAAGCCUUGGGAGAAUUAAAAACUAAAAACUUUAAAAAAAAAAAAAAGAAAAAAAUACUGUAACAGCUCAUCUAACCAGAAACCAGCAACCUGGAACAUUAAACUAACUAUAUACUUCCUAAUCUGUCAAGAAUUCAGGAGUCAAAAGAGAAAAAUCCCUGUGUAGGUGCUGGGGUUGGCAGUAAUUCUUCUCAGUAUCUAAGGCUUAAUAAUGCCCUCCAGUGAGCAGUGACAUACACAACAACGACCUGCCUCACUCGAAGAGUCUUGAACUCCACAUUAAAAAAAUUAUGGUGCAUUAAACAAGGGCGAAAACAAAAAUUUUCUGGUAAUAAUUAGAUAGCAUGACUAAACAGACCACAACAUCCCCUGAAAAUUCAGGCUAUUCAUGAUUUCACUGUUCCAUGAAACGCAGGUUCUGAAGUUUAAAUCCAAGUUUCCCUUGAGAGUUUUAAUUCAUGACUUGAACUAAAAAAUAAAACUAUAAAUUUCAAUGAUCUGGGGGUUUAUCCUUCUAGCUACUAGACAGGCAAAAUAAUCUUAAUAUGUGGUAAGUUUUACUCAUUAACUAAAAUAUGGAAAAGCUAAGAUAUAAAGAUCUGACUAAAACCACAAGAUUUUAUGACAAAAGGGCAACUAGUGUACUCAAAAUUCUUUCACACUUUACAUGAAAUGGCUUAUUAUAAAAAAUAAAAUCUAUAUACAAUCAAAGCCAACAAAAGUUACCACAGAGCUGAAAGGGUAUAAACAAGUGCUGCUAAUAUUGUUGCUUCCUUGACGUGCAUCUAGGAUUCCUGCCCCUCCCUUCCCUACAGUAACUCUUUUUGUUUUUUUUUUUUUUUGAGACGAAGUUUUGCUCUUGUUGCCCAGGCUGGAGUGCAAUGGCAGGAUCUCGGCUCACCGCAACCUAUGCCUCUGAGGUUCAAGUGAUUCUCUUGCCUCAGCCUCCCGAGUAGCCAGGAUUACAGGCAUGUGCCACGACGCCCGGCUAACUUUGUAUUUUUAGUAGAGACAGGGGUUUCUCCAUGUUGGUCAGGCUGGUCUUGAACUUAUGACCUUGGGUGAUCUGCCUGCCUUGGCCUCUCAAAGUGCCGGGGUUACAGGUGUGAGCCACCGUGCCAGGCCCUUGCAGUGACUCUUGAAGUUUAUGGGGCGGGUAGAAAAGUAGGAGACCUUAAUGGGAAAUGGAAUGGUCUAUAUGAUCCUGGGAGAUCUUCGUUGUAUUUGUGGUCCCAAACCAUCUUUCAAAAAGUUCUCUAGAACAGUGGCAAUCUACAUUAGCGAUGCCUGGUGUAAUAAAACGGUAGGCAAUGAACUCUUGCUUACACACCUCUUCUCCAAACCCUCUCAGGGUCCAUAGAAUCCUUUCCUGAACACUAAAUCUCCUUUGAAGAACUCAUUUGUUUCCUUAUUUGGUCAUCUUCCUAUUACACAAGAUUUUUUUUUUUUUUUUUUUUUUUUGAGACAGAGUCUUGCUCUGUUGCCUAGGUUGGAGUGCAGUGAUGCAAUCUCUGCUCACUGCAACCUCCACCUCCCAGGUUCAAGCAAUUCUCCUGCCUUAGCCUCUAGAGGAGCUGGGAUUACAGGUGCCCACCACCACACCCAGCUAAUCUUUGUAUUUUUAGUAGAGAUGGGGUUUCACCAUGUUGGCCAGGCUGGUCUCAAACCCCUGACUUCAAGUGAUCCACCUACCUCGGCCUCCCAAGGUGAUGGGAUUACAGGUGUGAGCCACCGUGACCGGUCUAGACAAGCAUUUUAUGCCUUAAUUCUAAACUUAACUUACAACCCUUCAGCCUAACAUAUCUACUGAUACAUCUCACUUCUACAAAUCUGAACUCCAGCAAUUCUUCAAAGACCUAUCUAAAGCAUCCAAAAUCUGUUUCUGAGUUUCAAUUACUUUUUUUUUUGAGACAGAGUCUCGCUGUCGCCCAGGCUGGAGUGCAGUGGCACGAUCUCGGCUCACUGCAAGCUCCACCUCCCAGGUUCACGCCAUUCUCCUGCCUCAGCCUCUCGAGUAGCUGGGACUACAGGUGCCUGCCACCAUGCCCGGCUACUUUUUUUUAAUUUUUAUUUUCAUUUUUAGUAGAGACGGGGUUUCACCAUCUUAACCAGGAUGGUCUCGAUCUCCUGACCUCGUCAUCUGCCCGCCUCGGCCUCCCAAAGUGCUGGGAUUACAGGCCACCGCGCCCGGCCUCUGAGUUUCAAUUACUAAUCACAAUCUAGAUAUGUUCAAACAUGCUUCCCAGUAGGGAGAUCCACUGCCCUUCUGCUAGGGGACUAUAAGCUUACAUACGUAGCUAAGUUAUGCUUUUUCUUUUGUACUCACUCCUUCCUUUCAGACUCUCCAGCGUUUUUGCCAUACAGGCAAUUUUUGCUUGAAAUACAUCUUUACCAUUGGUCUUCUUCCCAGAAGUCGUUUUCCUCUGUAAUGAUUCCUCAAUGAUGCCAGGAGGUCAUAUUGUGUGCUGUUUGGUGACUGUCAUACCUGUCUUUGAAACUCUAAAAUGACUUCAUUUCAACCUUGACUUUCAAUGACAUUUCAUGCAUAUCAUGGUUUGGCAGCAUAACUGUAAGAAUGAACAGUUCCUUAAAAAAACCACCCAGGUAUUUAGGGUCCUGAAAGGCUCUUUCCUCUUAUCGCUCCAUCUUCCUUUUGGGUUGCUCACUUCUUCCUUCCAGAGCCUUUGAAUUCCUACUCAUUGAUUUCGAAUUUUUAGUGUAAAAUCUAAUAGUCGUUGUUUCUGGUUUAUGUUGUUAAAUUUCUAGAUUCUUCAUAAGGCUUGAUCCAUGCUAGAUUGUUUAUUAUUUUUCAUAAUUGCUUCUUACUGGACCAUGUCUUCAACACCAAUUAUGACAUUAAAAAAAUAUUUUUUCCCUAUUCAUCAAAAAGCAAAAAAAGUCAGCAUUGUACUUAUUUUAUUAGAGAUGGGGGUCUUGCUGUUACCCAGACUGGAGUGCAGUGUCACAAUCAUAGCUCACUGUAGCCUUGAAAUCCUAGGCUGAAGUGAUCCUCCUGCCUCAUCCUCUGAAGUAGCUAGGACUAUAGGCGAGUGUCACCACGCGUGGCUAAUUAAAAAAAUUUUUUUCUUAGAGAUGGGGUCAGGCUGGUCUCAAACUCCUGGCCUGAAGUAAUCUUCACACUUCAGCUGGGAUUGCAGGCACAAGUCACCAUGCCUGAGCCCCAACUACGACAUAUACUAUUCCCAGAAACCUAAAUUUCUUCACUUCAAGCUCUAAUCUAUUCUUCAAAGCCAUUUCAACACAUCUUUUCAAGCAAAUCAUUCCAAGUUUUACUAGAGUUUAAAGCGAAAGCAAACAUUUCUUAAUUCAAAGUGCACAUGUCAUAAUGCUUAAUUUAUUCAAGAGCAGAACUGUUUUCUGCCUCCUCCCCCAAUUCAUUUAGCACAGUGGUGGACAUUUUGUUGAUGGGUUAUCAAUACAUUUGGUUGAUGAAUCAGUUUCCCAUUAACAGUCUUGUCAUUUCCUGCACACUAUCACCUGAGUAACAUUAGAAAAGACCUCACCAAACACGCUUUAUGUUAUCAAACACCAACAAGCAAAGAUGUUUCCUCAUCCCUCUGAUUAUAGCUGCCACUUACUGCCUAAGCCAAAUGCUUUACAUUUAUUAUCUCUAAUCUUCCUUUUCCACAUGAAUGAACAACCAGGUUCAGAGAAGUAACUUGCCCAUACGUAGUAAGUGGUGGAACCAGGAUUUGACUUAGGCCUGGCUGGCUUCAAAAUCCACACUUUGUCCACAAAAGUUAGUUAUGCUGUCAAUUUAGCUGGGCUCUGAAAAAAACUGGAGUUUCAACUUUCACAUAUAUGGUAUGUAUACAAUAACGUCUACCCGCCACUUCAAUAUAUCCUUAAGAACUGAACGUUUUACUGUAGAAAAGGAGUAGUUUUUAAAGCCUUUUACUGUAAAAGAAAUCAGUACUUUACUAAAGACGUCCUCAGAAAGAAAACGAUUCUAAUAAUUAAUUUGAAAUGGCUUUUUAAACCCAAAUCAUCAUUUGAGAAUACGGUAGCUACCAGUUUUCUCAUACGUGAAACAUACUUAGGUAACUUUCAAAAUGUUUCAGGUGUCAGUUACUAGUAUAACCCUGGGGAGUAAACGGUAGCUAUAUUACAACUGUUGCAAAGUAGAGUUUCUUUUUUAAGCCAAGAGUUCUCUAACACCCAAGGUUUAGUGCCCUAAAAUGUCACCCCAGUCCUUUUAAUUUUAUAUCCAUGCCUUCCAAGCCCUACCUAACAUCUGGUUCCCAGUUUUCCCCGUUGAGUAUUUUCUCCAGGCCUGAUUCCUCAACAGUUUUCCCUAAAACCUGUAGCUCAUGCUGGCACUAUUUUUGCCGAAGUAGAUUAAGAAUACAAGUAAUAGAUCAUACUCUGGGGGAGGCAGUAAGUUAACAAUUUCGUCUCCGUCUGCGUUAACCAGACGCAGAUACUAGCCAGGGUGGCCACUAUUCUCCUAACAAAUUCUACAACGGCCAAGCAAUUUUUCGGUAAGUUGGAAAACGGAAACCACAGCGUGGAAACUCUGCACGGAGUCUUAAAGAUAAGAAGUUAAGACUUUAAUUUACUCUUGCAGAGGGAACGGUGAAGGCUUUCAGCACGGCAAGACGAUACUUUCGAAACUGUCACUAGACUACUCAAACUGGAGUCUCCCGCCCAAAAAAGCGUGGCACACGGCUAAAAAGGGCCUCCCUCCAAGGCUCCAGUCCUCGGGGAAGACGGCGCUGUGACCGUCUGAUCCAUGAGACCGGGCAAGAGGUGAAAGGGAGCAGGAAAUCCUGUUUAUUUCCAGUAGUCCUCAGAGCGGGAAAGGUUGGUGUCUACCCAGAAACGAAUAGGGCCCCAGUUCCGGGCCUAGGAAGGGAAAACCCAGGUCUCCCGGGCGCCCUGGAGCUGUGCCCCCCUGCCCGGAGCACCAGCCCCACUCGGGCUUUCCUUCUCCCCGUCCCACUCAGGGCCUCAGCACAGCUCCCAUUAUGCCUCCACCACCCCCACCCGCGCAGGCGCAGUGGGAACCGGGGCCUACCCGCGCCCCCGAGGCGCCGCCACUAUGGCGGAGCCUGGCCAGGCCGGUAGCCGCUCCGCGCGGACCAGGCGUCCCUCUCCCGUCCCCGCGGCCUCCCCACCACCUAUGGGGUCUGUCCCCGCCCGGCCGGACCCUCUUUCGCCCUCCUCACCCGUUCUUCAGAUCCACCUCCAGGAUCUUCCCGUAGCCCUUAAAGAAGCGCUCCACAUCGCGCUCCCGGGCCUGGUAGCUCAGGCGGCGGCGGGCAAAGCGAGA
RNAcentral lists this long non-coding RNA (32611 nucleotides) under Homo sapiens (human). Its description in RNAcentral is "HSALNT0291081". Lineage: Eukaryota; Metazoa; Chordata; Mammalia; Primates; Hominidae. The record is from RNAcentral.